RNAcentral lists this ribosomal RNA (253 nucleotides) under uncultured bacterium. RNAcentral describes it as "partial 16S ribosomal RNA". It matches the Rfam family "Bacterial small subunit ribosomal RNA", at positions 524 to 776 of the family's 1533-position model. The record is from RNAcentral.
UACGGAGGGUGCAAGCGUUAUCCGGAUUCACUGGGUUUAAAGGGUGCGUAGGUGGUCUGUUAAGUCAGCGGUGAAAGCCUGGAGCUCAACUCCAGAAUUGCCAUUGAUACUGACGGACUUGAAUCAAGUUGAGGUGGAUGGAAUAUUACAUGUAGCGGUGAAAUGCUUAGAUAUGUAAUAGAACACCAAUUGCGAAGGCAGUUCACUAAGCUUGCAUUGACACUGAUGCACGAAAGCGUGGGGAGCAAACAGG